This 221-nucleotide ribosomal RNA is filed under the name Amycolatopsis eburnea. RNAcentral's name for it is "Amycolatopsis sp. GLM-1 partial 23S ribosomal RNA". It matches the Rfam family "Bacterial large subunit ribosomal RNA", at positions 1434 to 1651 of the family's 2925-position model. The record is from RNAcentral. Lineage: Bacteria; Bacillati; Actinomycetota; Actinomycetes; Pseudonocardiales; Pseudonocardiaceae.
GAGCGUGGGACCUGAUUUCGUAGUAGUCAAGCGAUGGGGUGACGCAGGAAGGUAGCUCCGCCAGGCGAUGGUUGUCCUGGUGUAAGCGUGUAGGGAAGCUGGUAGGCAAAUCCGCCGGCUACAUAUCCUGAGACGUGAUGCGUAGCCGUUUGAGGCGAAGUAGAGUGAUCCUAUGCUGCCGAGAAAAGCCUCUAGUGAGUGCAUGCACGGCCCGUACCCCA